RNAcentral lists this long non-coding RNA (230 nucleotides) under Gossypium barbadense (sea-island cotton). RNAcentral's name for it is "long non-coding RNA (GBAR_LNC003095)". Lineage: Eukaryota; Viridiplantae; Streptophyta; Magnoliopsida; Malvales; Malvaceae. The record is from RNAcentral.
GCAAAUUUUAAAUUUUGGUGUUCUGUCUGCUUGGCGUAGAUUUAAUCAGGUUAGUGGGUCUCUAGAAGGCCCAAGUUUAGGUUAAAAUCUGGUAAUUUUAGUUAAUUUUAAUUCUAUAGAAAAAGGGGUUCUGGUUAGCUGGGCUUUAAGGUAUUAAUUGGGUAAAAUAAAACACAAGGAAGCCCGUGGUAAGUUGGCUUGUGGCGUCACUUGGGGGCUUGAGAGGUGGC